This 3437-nucleotide long non-coding RNA is filed under the name Lynx pardinus (Iberian lynx). Lineage: Eukaryota; Metazoa; Chordata; Mammalia; Carnivora; Felidae. The record is from RNAcentral.
CUGGUUUCCUCCCUCAUCCCAGCUGUGCUGGACGCCGAAGGCUGACGUCUGCAAGCUGCUCACGGCCUGUUAGGGAAAGACAGAUACUAAAAAAACCCUACAGGAUCUGACUGAAAGAAUGAAAAGGAAAUGCGAUCAAAAGCUGGGGGCAGAGAGCACAGAGGGGGAUCCAGCUCUUUGUGGGCCACCUGGAGGAGGUGGGAAUUACGCGGUUGUUUGGAGACCUGGCAGAGGUUCGAUGGGCGAUGGGCGGGUGGGACACAAUCAGAAACCGUUGGGGACGGAAAACUGAUAGCGCUUGGUGCCUGCUGACAGCAGCAGAGAGGGGAGACUGCUAGGCAGUUCCCAGGUUUUCAUGAGAUUUCGAGUAAAUGGGGAGAGAGAAACUACUCCCCACACCCCCCCCCCCCCCGCCGCACCCCAGUCCCCCAGGCAGUGUGUGGAUUCUAUGAGGCGAUGUUUGGGCCCCGCCAACACACAGUAGGAUCCCCAUAAAUGUUAGCUCGUUGUCUCCUGGGACGGGUAAGUUCUAAAUUUAUUGUUGGGAAAUUAAAUGAAGACAUCGGGGUUACGGCAUGGCUAAGUUUGCAGCUGAACUUUGGUUGGAUUACUGCUGCGCUGCCUUUGGCUGAUGAAGCUGGGCCUUUCUUGCUGAAGUUGUUCUCAGCAGAUUUAGCUCUGCUAAGCCUCUUUUUUUUACGUGGCCUUAUGGGGGACUGACAAGUCGAUUAUCAUAAGAGACUGGGUGGAGGGGGGGAUGGUAAGAAGGAAACGUUGCAUCUGAUGGCACAGGGUCAUUCGUGUUUUGUGUGAAGGUUGCAAGCAGAGGUUUUGGUUCUGCCCAGAGGAACCCUCUCUCUCCCUGGGGGUGGCUUUGCCUGUCGAUUAUCAGCAGUAGGGGGCUCUUGGCUACGCCUCUCAGGGGCCCAGUUCCUCUGAUAGCACUGGGGUCCCCGCCCUCGUCACCGUUUUGCUGGGGCAGGAAAACGGCUCUGUGUCCGCUGGGCCUCCUGCUUCUUUCCGAUUCCAGCACUCGGACUGCCUUCAGAUAUCCAGCAGCGGAGAGGUCCCUGUUACCGCCUGUCCCUCCUCCCGGCAUUUGAACCCCGGAAUCCCAGGCACCCAGGGUCCCUCUGGUCCCUCGCCCAAGACUGCCCAGGGCUAACAGGGCCGCCUGCCCAACCAGGAGAGAUUUCCCAAUUCAGAUGAGCUGGCUCGUUCCGUUCGCAGGUGCGAGGCCGGUGGGGGAGGGCGGGGGUGGCGAGCUCCCGGCCCUUUGGCAGUGACACUGCCUCUAAGGAGAGGGGCGGGUGGGGACCAGGAGGGGGAAACUCAAUCACUGUUGCAGGAGAAGGGAGGAGGCUUUUAGUCAAAGUGCCCGUCACCGGGGGCAGCUGAUAGCAUCGCCCGCCCUGGUCUGGUUACACCUCCCUGCCUCCCCAGAGCGCUAAUGAGAAGCCCGAAGUGGACACCAGAGAAGGUGGUCCCCACAAGCGGGCGGCGGGGGGGGGGCGGUGCUGGGACACAGGGCAGGGGGAGGCAGGGAGGGGGGCGUAGGAUUCCAGAAAAAGCAUUUUGUAGUUUUGCUUCAACUCAUUCCCUUCCCCAGUGAUGGAGAUGGCUUCCUUCUCUUUGAAGUGCCUGAGAAAAGGGCCAUUUCUUUUCAGGACACGAUGUUCUGUUUCUUCCAGGACAGAGAAGGCAUGGAGCCUUUCUCCGCUAUGCCAAUUGUGGCUUGCAUUUGGCCCUGCCCUUGCUGGACAGUUGCGGGGCCUUCUCUUCCCUUCGAUCAGCCACUGGUUACUGAGGGCAUGUGACAGCCACGCUCUGGCCAAACCCUAUUGCAAACCCCUCUCCAGCCUGGUGGCAAGGGAGACCGGGACCCUGGGAUUCUGGAUGAGUCCAUUUAAUUCUCUGUUCGUUGAUGUAGAACUAAAGUCAGAUGCCUCUUGCUGUGCAGUGUCACGUUUCCCCCCAAAAGGAGACAUUUCUUCCUUCCUUCCUUCCUUCCUUCCUUCCUUCCUUCCUUCCUUCCUUCCUUCCUUUUUCUUUUUCUUCUUUCUCCUUUCUUUCUUUCUUUCUUCUUUCUUUCUUUCUUUCUUUCUUUCUUUCUUUCUUUCUUUCUUCUUUCCUUCCUUUCUUUUCUCUUUUCUUUCUUUUCUCUUUUCUUUUCUUUUCUUUUCUUUUCUUUUCUUUUCUUUUCUUUUCUUUUCUUUCUUUUUGGAAUGGAAUGUUUUCUCUAGGCCUAGCGCUAAUUAAAUGCUUCCCAUGCAUUAUCUCAUGGGUCCUCGAAAUAAUCCUACCCUGAUGGGCAUAGCUUUUCAUCCUCCACUGUGCAGAUAAGGAAACUGAGGUAUAGAGAGGUUAAGUCACAUGCCCAAGGUAGUGACAUAGCUGAGGUGCGAGAUAACCUAAGCUUUCUGACUCCCAAGCCUUUUGACCCAAAAGUGUCACUGAGUGAGUAUCUGGUAUCUGUCACCACUUAUGACUUGCGACAACCGCCCCCUCCCCACCUUUUCUUCAUCCGCUCAUCUUACUGAAGUAGCUACACCCUCCGUCAGUGCUGGGGACGGAGAUGUGCAAGAGGAAGGCUCUGUGACUGAGGAUGUGAGGUUCUGGAGGGGUGCUGAACCCAGCGCUCCCACCAAAGGGGACCCCAGUGCUGUAGGAACACGGAUGAAAGAAGGCUGACCGCCCAGGCCGAUGAGUCAGGGCGGCUACAAGGAAGCUUCCAGAGAGGCCCAGCAUGGCCAGAGGCCCUGCAGGGGGUUGGAGGGUGGUCAUUAUGGGGGGACCUGGGGUGGGCUGCACGGAGCCAAAUCAGGAAGGGCCCCCCCUCCUCGGGGCUGGGGGGGGCGGGGUUGGGCUUUAACGAGUGUUUGCAGCUUACCUCACUGUAAGGGCCCUUCUAUUUCCAGACCUGGUGUGAGCGCCAUCCCUCCACCCCUACUCUGUUUGCAGGUGUUUUUUUCUCCCUGGUCUCUACAUGGGCUACGUUCCUCCCAGGCUGGAAGGAAAUCCCCUGGGAGUUCCAGGCCUGCAUCGGGGCGUGUGCUCUGCUGGGGAACAAGAGCCCGGGCCGGGCCACUGUCAGGCUGACUCCAGCCCCGGGGGCUGCUGAAGCACACAGAUGCCUCCGAAGAGCUCUGCAUGGGGUCUCCUUGCCACACCGGACCCGUGUUUCAUUUUCCAUGCAGGAAGCGUUUGGUGGUUGGUUUUUUUUUUUUUUUUCCCCCACCAUCCAAAAAAAUGCAACAUGUUGAGGGAAUUUAGUUCAGGCAAGGGAAGAACUUGGAGAGGAAACGUCAAGGCUUUGCCUGAGGAUUUGUCCGCAUGGUUUCUACGGGACAAGCCAUCAUAAUCAUGCACGGAAAGCAUCUGUAGAGCCUGGGGAGGUCCCUUCUCCAUGUGCCCCAUUCAGUUGGGGAGGCACCAAG